This is a long non-coding RNA of Bactrocera tryoni, 700 nucleotides long. RefSeq lists it as uncharacterized. The transcript has 7 exons. Lineage: Eukaryota; Metazoa; Arthropoda; Insecta; Diptera; Tephritidae. The record is from RefSeq and is a predicted model, not a curated record.
GUUCUGUUCUGUUGGAAUUCCUGCCAAUUCGUUCAUUUUAAUUUUGAUCUUGGAGCAAUCUACUUCACUUGUUCGGCGUUUCGAAAUAAUUGGAAUAAUUUUUAUUGAAAUGGAAGUUUUCAGUAAAAUAUUGCUAAAAUCUUGUAGGCAUAAAUAUGUUGCAACCAUAAUUUGUACAAGUUGAAUGUUAUUUGAAGGGAUGGCAUUGGAAAUUGCUGAUACAAUUAACAAACCCUGUUAAGUGAAGUAUAAAUGGGUUGUGCUGAACAAAAUGACCUGAUAUAUCUUAAUAAAGAGCUGGAAAAAUUGCAGCGGCUUGUAAAAUGUGCAGCUGAAACCGAGUAAUCUUGCAUCUGCGAUUUGCUUUAAUUAAAGCCAGCUGAGGGAGAAAGCUUGGUAAUACUGCUUAAGAUGACCCAAAUAUCAAAAAGAUUGCAGCACCAGUUCAAUGUGAAAAUGUAAAAACAAUAUUGGAAGCUGCAUAUUCAAAUGAUUUCCUGAAGGAUACGGAUUAUAUAUUACUAUUCAUUGACAUAUUGAGUAAACGUGAAAAGUUAAAACAUGUUAUAAAUCAUGAUUAUUACGGAAAAGUUUGGAGGUGUAACCGAAGUAAAGGCUUUUGUAUUCUCUCUGGAUUUGCAGCCAUUAAACAUUUGUAUACUAAAUAAACUAAAUAAAAACAAACAUUUUUAAAUGAAAA